Molecule: ribosomal RNA, 470 nt
Filed under: uncultured bacterium
Lineage: Bacteria
Description: bacterial SSU rRNA
Rfam family: Bacterial small subunit ribosomal RNA
Source: RNAcentral
GGGGGCCCGCAAGCGGUGGAACAUGUGGUUCAAUUCGACGCAACGCGAAGAACCUUACCUGGGCUUGAACUGCACCGGACAAAGGUAGAAAUACCUCUCCCGCAAGGGCUGGUGUAGAGGUGCUGCAUGGCUGUCGUCAGCUCGUGCCGUGAGGUGUUGGGUUAAGUCCCGCAACGAGCGCAACCCUUACCCUUAGUUGCCACCCGCAAGGGGGAACUCUAAGGGGACUGCUCCGGAUAACGGAGAGGAAGGUGGGGAUGAGGUCAAGUCAGCAUGGCCUUUAUGUCCAGGGCUACACACGUGCUACAAUGGACGGUACAAAGCGCUGCUAACCCGCAAGGGGGAGCCAAUCGCAAAAAACCGUUCUCAGUUCGGAUCGCAGGCUGCAACCCGCCUGCGUGAAGCUGGAAUCGCUAGUAAUGGCGUAUCAGAACGACGCCGUGAAUACGUUCCCGGGCCUUGUACACACC